AGGGUUAUUACUGGAAAGACAAAAAAUUUAGCUAGCUCACUGCCUCUUCAUCGUUGCCUCUGGUGAUUGAAGAAGGAAAGUAUCGCUGCAAAUAUGAAUGGGUUUAUUGCUGAAGUUAAACUAGCAUUGACCGUCUCUUGUAUGUUUGAAUUCUACUGUGAGUUCCCUUUAAACUUCAACAACAUCAAUCCCCAAUUUUAUGAGUUAGUCUUGAUUUAGAACAAUGAUUAAAUGCCUCAAGCCCAUAUGUAUUGGUCAGAAAUCUAAAUUUCCAGCUUCUAAGGUCCAUCUGGGCAUCUAUUUUCUUUUCAUUCCGCCAUUCUUCAAAUGAUUUCAGUUGUUUAAAUAAGAGCAUUUAAAAAUCAAAACCCUAAAGAUUUUGAUCCGUCAAAAUGGCACUUUUUUCAGAAAAUUAUAAUGGGUUUCGAGAAGAAUUGCGACACUUGUUGCGACUCCUUGAUGAAUUUAUGUU
RNAcentral lists this long non-coding RNA (472 nucleotides) under Olea europaea (common olive). RNAcentral's name for it is "long non-coding RNA (OEUR_LNC003847)". The record is from RNAcentral. Lineage: Eukaryota; Viridiplantae; Streptophyta; Magnoliopsida; Lamiales; Oleaceae.